GAGGACUGAGCAUGGUGGUAUUGCAUCUGGUUUGAAACUAGAUGGUGGGGGUUCGAUUCCUCCUGUCCUUG
This 71-nucleotide transfer RNA is filed under the name Caiman yacare (yacare caiman). Its description in RNAcentral is "tRNA-Ser". It matches the Rfam family "tRNA". Rfam says of the family: Transfer RNA (tRNA) molecules are approximately 80 nucleotides in length. Their secondary structure includes four short double-helical elements and three loops (D, anti-codon, and T loops). Lineage: Eukaryota; Metazoa; Chordata; Crocodylia; Alligatoridae. The record is from RNAcentral.